UAGAUUGUGCAUGGAUAGUAAGGGUAUAGAUUUUCUUAUAUUUAUAUCCGUCUUAUCAGUUUUCUCUCUGACAGGAAGAGGGUAACAUUAGCAGCACACCCUCAGUCAUUUCAGUUAGCUCAAGGUUGUUACCUCUGCAGUCCAAAUUGGGAAAUCGGUAAACCCCGCCAUAAAAAGCAACACUCAUUGUAUUGUUUUUCUUUGCCAACAGCAGUGGCAUGAUUCCCUUUUUACGUCUUAAUUUAUUACGCAGUGAUCUGAAAUAAGUUUCAGGGAUGAUGGCGAAGUCGACACGAUAAUGCGAGAGCAAAGCGAGCGGCGGUCCUGGAAGCUCGUCAAAACAAUUACGGAGGCGCAGUUAGGUGCACCGGGUGACUUUGCAGCGAAUGGCUUUAACGGUGGAAAAGUGUGAGGCUUUAAUGCCCGCAAAUCAUGUGACAUGAUGUCGGUAAACUGCAGACAGCAGGCAAAUGUUUACCAACCCAGCCGGUCUGUGAGCCCUUCAUGCCAAAGGAUAGCGAAGGGACCAGAGAGGCAAAUUGACCAGAGAGGCAAAUUAUCUAACACUGCUGAGUCCAUCUUUCUGUGGACAGAGUGCUCGAUGCUGUUCGGGAGAGAGUUCAUAUUUCACUCGUGAGUGGAAGAGUGACCAAACCCGAUACCUGAAUUUCAUUUGGAGGAAAUGGGUUGUUUGGCAGAAGCCGCGACAAGCUGAGCGUCAAAUGGAGUUGACAGAUUUGUUGACAUCUUCACUCACGGUGUGCUCGCAUUAAACGCUCCUGACAGGGACUGCUGUUUUAUUUCUCGGCUGAUAUCUGAUGAAUUAUGAAACAGCCGUAGUUGCAUGUCAGCUCCAUGACACAUGGCGGUGAUGUCGGCCCCCUUGUCCUUUAUUGGCUGUAACGUAUUCUCUCUGUGCCAACUAUUGCGCUUGCUCGUGUCCACUGUGGAGCUGCAGCAUCACAGGAGAGGAGCGUCUGGGGAGCCGAAGACUUGGAACAGAUACCCUGAAACAAUAUUUCUUAUUCAUGCACACAGGACAAUGUUUGUUCAUAUUAAUAUAACCAUGAAUAGAAUGUGCUUCAGAUAUGUGCCUUUGGGUUGUUUGCUUUGGUUUCUUUCUUGCAUUUUCUCUGUGUUUUUUGAUUUUUUCUACCCCCUCCUUUAGUUAAGAAUUCCCUUGCAGUGAUGUCCAUAUGGUGGAAUCUCAUUGUGAAUUUUCAGGGUUUUGUAUAUAAAGUGGAUCACACUUGCUUGGAGCUCACCAAACACACUCCCUACCUGCUUAGCACAGACUUCUCAAAGCUUUGAUCAUCACACAAACAUGCGCACACACAGAGACUAAGGGUUUAGAAAGUAUCCCAAAAGCUUUUUAUUCAGUUUAACCAUUACACCUUGCGCAACCCAGCUUAAGGCCAGGAACACAUAGGAUGUUUUUUCUUUCCUUUUUUUUGGACUCAGCAACACUUUUUUUCUUGUUUUGUAAGGAUUUGUCCGACAUAUAUAACGAACCUACUGCAUUUCUAGAAAUAACCCUGUAAAUGGGCGCUAUCUCGGCACUUCUCCUGGCCUGGAUGUUCUCCCAAACCGGAAGUGAAGAAGCACCGGUUUUCUAACUUCAAAUUUCAAUAUAGUCUCCUGCAUCUAAAACCUCAAAUGAAAAUCAGGUUGUUUUACAUUGUUAACAUAUCCGUAUGAUGGGUUUUUUUAUGUGCUGGAAGAUGUAUCGAGAAUCAAACAAGCAUUUUCACCUUGAAAUUGUCUCAAAAACACUGAUUCAGUUUCAUACGCAACAAACAACAAAGGAACACUGUCUUGUAGUAUUUCCAACUGAUUUACUACAAUAGCACGCUGUGUACCAGGGUUCUAAUGUGAUAUCAUGGGAUUGUGAAUAAAUCGUAUGCCACUUCA
Long non-coding RNA from Acanthochromis polyacanthus (spiny chromis), 1911 nucleotides. RefSeq lists it as uncharacterized. Lineage: Eukaryota; Metazoa; Chordata; Actinopteri; Pomacentridae. The transcript is spliced from 2 exons. The record is from RefSeq and is a predicted model, not a curated record.